This 497-nucleotide ribosomal RNA is filed under the name uncultured bacterium. RNAcentral describes it as "partial 16S ribosomal RNA". It matches the Rfam family "Bacterial small subunit ribosomal RNA", at positions 28 to 507 of the family's 1533-position model. The record is from RNAcentral.
GAUGAACGCUGGCGGCGUGCCUAAUACAUGCAAGUCGAGCGAACAGACGAGGAGCUUGCUCCUUUGACGUUAGCGGCGGACGGGUGAGUAACACGUGGAUAACCUACCUAUAAGACUGGGAUAACUUCGGGAAACCGGAGCUAAUACCGGAUAACAUGUUGAACCGCAUGGUUCAACAGUGAAAGACGGUCUUGCUGUCACUUAUAGAUGGAUCCGCGCCGCAUUAGCUAGUUGGUAAGGUAACGGCUUACCAAGGCAACGAUGCGUAGCCGACCUGAGAGGGUGAUCAGCCACACUGGAACUGAGACACGGUCCAGACUCCUACGGGAGGCAGCAGUAGGGAAUCUUCCGCAAUGGGCGAAAGCCUGACGGAGCAACGCCGCGUGAGUGAAGAAGGUCUUCGGAUCGUAAAACUCUGUUAUUAGGGAAGAACAAAUGUGUAAGUAACUAUGCACGUCUUGACGGUACCUAAUCAGAAAGCCACGGCUAACUACGUG